Molecule: ribosomal RNA, 502 nt
Filed under: uncultured eukaryote
Lineage: Eukaryota
Description: partial 18S ribosomal RNA
Rfam family: Eukaryotic small subunit ribosomal RNA
Source: RNAcentral
CAGCACCCGCGGUAAUUCCAGCUCCAAGAGCAUAUAUUAAUGUUGUUGCGGUUAAAAAGCUCGUAGUUGGAUUCAGGGAUCUGGGCGACGGUCUGGUCCGAGGUGUGCACAACUCGUGUCACCGCGAGUGCCUGCCGGUUUGUCCCGGGUUCUUACUUUCUUGCGGAAGCGAAUGCCGGCCGAGUGCCACUUCACUGUGGUGCGAAGCGAACUACGGAGUUUCUACGCUCCUUAAGGCACGUCCGCAGAAGUUACUGUGAGUAAAGCAGAGUGCUCAAAGCACCCAACUCGCUUGGGAGAAUGUUAAAGCAUAGAAUAACAAGGGAUCGACCACGUUGUGGAGUCUUAUUGUUGGUUUUCAAGCCGCCGUGCGACAAUUUAGAGCAGGUGUCUUGUGUGGAUGGCGCAGUCCGCAAGGACUCGCUCGCUGCAUCUAAGCCCUGCUCAUUGGGAUCAAUAGGAGCGCGGGGAGCGAUCAGUACUCCCGGGUGAGAGGUGAAUU